This 2153-nucleotide long non-coding RNA is filed under the name Canis lupus familiaris (dog). RNAcentral describes it as "lncRNA (ENSCAFG00000053587.1, ENSCAFG00845012736.1)". Lineage: Eukaryota; Metazoa; Chordata; Mammalia; Carnivora; Canidae. The record is from RNAcentral.
UUUAUUUAUUCAUGAGAGACACAGAGAGAGAGAGAGAGAGGCACAGACACAGGCAGAGGGAGAAGCAGGCUCUGUGCAGGGAGCCCGAUGUGGGACUCGAUCCCACCUUUUUCUUUUUUUAAAUGAGAAAGCCAACUUAACUACAGCACAAAAAAAUUUGCAAAAUAGAAAAAAAUACAUGUAAAUUAAGCUCUACAACAUAAUCAUUGUUAUUGUUUUAAGGUAAUUAAUCCAGAUUUUCUUUUUUUCCCCAUACAUUUAAAAUAUAUAUAAAAGAUAUAUAUAUUAUUAUUAUUAUUAUUAUUAUUCAUGUUUCCUCUUCUCAUGCUAGUGUCAGAAUAAUAUAUCAAAGUGCCUUUCUCUAGAUCACCCUUUCCUACACAUUUUAGAACUUCUAGUCUCCUUAAAUUUCUUCCCAUCUUGUUUUGUUUUUGCCAGGAAAUAUCACAAGUGUAUUUAUAAAAUAAUCUUCUUGUUCCAGUUGGCUUCUAUCACUUUCUUCCUUACCGGUAUUGGUUUAUAAUUGUGAUAUCUUCUGAGAAUACUUAUGCCACUGUUCUUUCUAUUCUCGUGGCUUCUGAAGCCUGCCUCAGGCAUUAAUAAAGCUGAGAUGCUGCUGUGAUGUCCUUUAAAUAUACCUCUCCCAGGAACAAUUCCCUCUUACAGCUCAGAGAGUGUCUAUUUCAUAUUCCAAUGAACACCAACAGUAACUGUAGGUAGAGAUGUAAUGUCCUGGUCACCACCACAGUACUACACUCUUCUAAAUGUCAAUGUGUCCUGCCAGUGCCUUGAUAGAGGACUUCAUAAAUACUCCUGCUUUAUAAUAGCGUCUUUCCAUUUGGACUCAGGCACAAGUUUCUUCAGGAUAGAGUAGUUGAUAUUUCGAGUGACUUAACCCAUCAUGUAAAUGAAUUCUUGGUAGGUUAAGUAGGCAGUCCUAUUAUCAUGUAUCAGAUUUCAGUAUUUUAACAUGUGUAUAGAAUAGAUUUUCAAAUUUAGACCCUUGCUAAAUAUAGUUUUAAUCACGGUAUAUUAUCCUGAUUGUUUUUACUUAGCAUUCCAUAAUUAGCAUCUUUCAUAUGUCUGCAUUUGAAUGUAAUGUUCAUAAUUUUAAUUCUUCAGUAGACAUAUUUAAGAGGAUUCAAUGCAAAAAUAGGGGUAUCUGAUCCAAAGGAUUCUCUGUCCUGGUGUAGAAACAUUAUUUUGUGUGUAAGAUAGGGGAAAGGAGUAAUAUGAUAAAUAUUUUGGAGUUACUAUUCCACAAGUGAAUGAAAUUUAGUAGUACAGGUAGAAACAUGAGCCAGAAUCUUUAUCCAUCUUACUAUUAGACCACAAUUUCACGUUCCAAGUUUCUGACCAUGAUUCGAAUGUUUCCCAUGUGGCUUUCUCUUCAAGUAAAAUAACAUGUUUCAGUAGGUCUUGCCCACAACUUCCUUGUGUAGCUUGCUCACUUCAACAAAUAUUAUUUGAACUACAUGAUGCAUCAAGCAGUGUAUUAGAUGUUAGGGGUAUAAAGGAUGAAUAAGACAUGGUCCCUGAUCUGAGCCACACGCCUCUAGUUUCUCUGGAAACUGUAUAUCCACGUCCAUCACUUCUAUCUACUGAGUGUCCUGCGGACAAGGAAGAAGAAUCUAAUAGGAAGGGAGGACACAAUCAAAAGGAAUCAAUUAAAUAUUCUUAAGGGAAGAUCAUACAAAUGGGAACAACAGGAGAAUCAAAAAAGAUAAGUAGACCAAAAUUUUGUAUGAGUGCACUGACUGCCAUUCUAUGUAUAGAUGAUUUUAAGAUGCUUUUUUAAAUAUUUAUUUUAUACCCCAUCUAAAAUGCACACAAUAAAUGCUUUUUGUAAAAAUAUUCCUUUAAACUUGUGGAACAAAAAUCUCUGGCUUGAACUAAGAAGAUCCCCAUGCACCACCAAAGAGAGCUUCUAGAGCUUUCAAUUAAUCAAUCACAAGAAGCAUUUAAAGUCAAUUGUGGAGGGAGGGAUUGAAAUAAGAAUAAUUGCACAUUCACUUGAUUCAUCUGCACUAAUAGACUGAACGUUGUAUUAUUCCCUAAAUUUUCUCUAUGAAGCAGAGGAAUAAUGAUUUGUAUUUUUAAAACAAAUUUCUUAUGCCUAUAAACCCUGUUUUUUUUUUCUUUAUGCAUGUAAG